RNAcentral lists this long non-coding RNA (1160 nucleotides) under Prunus persica (peach). RNAcentral describes it as "long non-coding RNA (PPER_LNC006677)". Lineage: Eukaryota; Viridiplantae; Streptophyta; Magnoliopsida; Rosales; Rosaceae. The record is from RNAcentral.
GCCAAUAUGACAAUUAAAUGUAAAGGCAAGGUGGCAUUUGAUUAUGACAGGAACAGACUAUACACAAUGUUAAAGAAGUUGAACACAGGCAAGGCAACCAAUUGGCCGGGCCCCUUAUGUGAUCCCUUCCUUGUAGUUAUUACAAGCAAACGUUUAGGUGGUUUUCCUGAUGGAGAUAGCCUAAUGCACAACAAAAUCAGCAUUUCCCUACCAAAGCUACCUUUUAGAUGCAAAGCCAGUCAUGAAUAGCAAAUAAGAGUCUUUGAGGCUGAAGUUUGGCAUGAGAAAGUGCCUUCUAAUGUCCUUUGAUCCCAUCUUCUGUCCCUUCUUUGCCAAGCGCCAUAGUCUUGGUGGCGGUGUAAGGCUUUCCUCACAUGUCUCUGGCUCCUCCUUGAUAGUUGCUAGCUUACUCUUGAGUAUUUCCUCUAUGUCUUUCCAGGAGUCAGUCCGGAAAUUCUUUCUGCUCAUGCAAGGCACCACCCGCCACAUUUUUCGGUAUGCCCUCCUCAUCUGCUUUCAAGUCGAGUUCUUCUCGGACAAACUAGGUCUUUAGCAGAAAGUGGUCAUGAUCACACUAGUAAUGCUCUUCUCCUUGCCUAUAUAUAUAUAUAUAUAUAUAAAGAGAGAGAGAGAGAGAGAGAGAGAGAGAGAGAGAGAGAAGAGGAAAGGUUGAGGAAAGUGGGUUAGGGUUGUAUUAGUUGGCUAGAAAAUGGAAAGAGGAGGGACCAAAAGCCACAACCUUUGCUCCUUUACAGCGAUGGUUCAACCAUAAUGAUCAGCUUUUGUUCGUUAACCUUUAUAAAACCAACCAAACCUUUAUUCUAUUGAAUACAUCAUGAAAUCCGUUUUCUAGUUUUGAAGUUGUAUGCAUAUCUUGAACAAGGAAAGACAUGUCUGCUACAAAUUUCAUGGAUGACACUCUGUUCCUGGAAAGCUAAUGCCUUAUGUCUACAAAAGUCAUCUGCAGAAUUAUGAAACUGAAACACAAAGAACCAGAUGUGACCCCUUGGAAAUAAUAGUGAUAAAGACUUGAGGAAAGCAAAUCAUGGUGGUAGGGAACACAUUGGUGAUCAGCAAGUUCAAAACCAUAUCAUUUGAUUCCAUUCCAAAUUGUUUAUUAGAAGAGAUUUCAGAAACCACACAAAAAAUUUAUGCCAAUC